UCCAUUUAAUUUCUCAUCGAC
This 21-nucleotide non-coding RNA is filed under the name Caenorhabditis elegans. The record is from RNAcentral. Lineage: Eukaryota; Metazoa; Nematoda; Chromadorea; Rhabditida; Rhabditidae.